AUGCUCAUUCAGCAGCGCAUAUACUGUAAUCAGAAUGAUACAAAGAUUAGCAUGGCCCUGCACAAGGAUGACAUGUAGAUUCGUGAAGCGAUCCAUAUUAAA
Molecule: small nuclear RNA, 102 nt
Organism: Neogale vison (American mink)
Lineage: Eukaryota; Metazoa; Chordata; Mammalia; Carnivora; Mustelidae
Source: Ensembl